Molecule: long non-coding RNA, 124 nt
Organism: Perca flavescens (yellow perch)
Lineage: Eukaryota; Metazoa; Chordata; Actinopteri; Perciformes; Percidae
Exons: 2
Source: RefSeq, a predicted model, not a curated record
CCUGUUUAAAGUUUAGUUUCACUUUCCAGAGGCUGUUGUAUGUCGCAACCUUUUCUCUCCUCCGUAUGGAGCUCCAUCUGAAGGUGGAGCUCUGACUCAUAUCAUUCCAGGAAACAGGUCACCU